Molecule: ribosomal RNA, 496 nt
Filed under: uncultured bacterium
Lineage: Bacteria
Description: bacterial SSU rRNA
Rfam family: Bacterial small subunit ribosomal RNA
Source: RNAcentral
AGAGUUUGAUCCUGGCUCAGGAUGAACGUUGGCGGUGUGCCUAAUACAUGCAAGUCGAACGGAGUUAAUAGCAAUAUUGACUUAGUGGCGAACGGGUGAGUAACGCGUUGGUGACCUGCCCCGAAGAGAGGGAUAGCAGUUCGAAAGGACUGAUAAUACCCCAUGUGGUUAUUGGUUUUAGAAUCUGAUAACUAAACGGAUUUAUUCGCUUCGGGAGGGGCCUGCGUCCCAUCAGCUAGUUGGUAAGGUAACGGCUUACCAAGGCGAUGACGGGUAGGGGACCUGAGAGGGUGGCCCCCCACAAUGGAACUGAAACACGGUCCAUACACCUACGGGUGGCAGCAGUAGGGAAUAUUAGAAAUGGACGAAAGUCUGAUCUAGCAACACCGCGUGUGCGAAGAAGGCCUUCGGGUCGUAAAGUGCUUUUAGAGAGGAUGAGGAAGGACAGUACUUUCUGAAUAAGCCUCGGCUAACUACGUGCCAGCAGCCGCGGUAA